GGCAAAUUCUUUACCAUCAUAAUCGCCUCCAAAAAGCCCUAAAAACAGAAAUCAACAACAAAAAAAACAAUAAUUACCGGUGUUCCCAUUUAAGGCUCUAAUUACAAGCUCCUCCCGCUGCCGCCGGCCUUCGCGUAGCCGUAGUAGGAGAGGUACCACUUCACGAACUUCUUCAGCCCAGCAUCCAGGUUCGUCGUCGGCUUAUACCCCAGCUCCGCCCUCGCAUGACUGAUGUUCGCGUGCGUGAACGGCACGUCUCCGUUCCCCGGCAUCUCGAUCAUGUUCUUCUUCGCCUUCUUCUUCAGGUUCCGCUCCAAGAUCGACACCAGCGUCGGUACCGUGACUGGAGAUGUAUUCCCGAGGUUGAAGAUCCGGUACGGCGCCGGGCCGCGCUUCUUGCCGCCGGUGCCAGUGCUGGGGCCGGCGGUGUCGAGGGAGGCGAGGCAGCCUUUGACGAUGUCGUCGAUGUAGGUGAAAUCCCUCGCCAGAUCCACCCCGUCCUUCUGGCGGUAGAGCGUGAUCGGCUUGUUUUGGAGGAUGUUGCGGGUGAAGGAGAAGUAGGCCAUGUCUGGCCGCCCCCAGGGGCCGUACACGGUGAAGAAUCGAAGCCCGGUGAUGGAGAGGCCGUAGAUGUGGUUGUACGUGUGCGUGAUCUCCUCGCCGGCUUUCUUUGUGGCGGCGUAGAGGGAGGCAGGGCGAUCGGUGCGAUCCGACUCCGAGAACGGGACCUUGUCGUUGAGCCCGUAGACGGAGGAUGACGACGCCCAGACGAUCGCCGGCUGCGGAUCGGCCGACUUGCAGGCUUCGAGGAGAGUUACGAGGCCGGCGACGUUGCUGUGGAUGUAGGAUCCGGGGUUCUCCAUCGCGUAGCGGACGCCUGCCUGCGCGGCGAGGUGGAUCACGUGCGUGAACGGGACGACGUCGAAGAGCUUGGCCAGAAGAGCGGCGUCGUUGACGUCGCCGGCGACAACGAAGAUGUUGCUCUUGAAGAGGAGGGCGGAUCGGGCCUUCUUGAGCGAGGGAUCGUAGUAGGAGUUGAAGUUGUCGAUGCCGACGACGCCGUCGCCGCGCUUGUGGAGGGCGAGGGCGACGUGGGAGCCGACGAAGCCGGCGGCGCCGGUGACGAGGACGGAGGCGCCCCCGUGGCGGCGGAUCUCGGCGGAGGUGCGGAUCUGCUUCUCCCAGUGGAGGCCGCCCCAGGAGGCGGUGAAGUAGCGGGAGGAGGUGUCGACGAAGGACUGGAAGCUGAGGUAGGAGGCGGUGAGGGCGACGAGGAAGAGGGCCCAGAGGAACAUCGUGGAGGUGGAGGCGAAGCAGCGGUUGAACUGGCGGUUGAU
This 1337-nucleotide unclassified non-coding RNA is filed under the name Hevea brasiliensis (rubber tree). Lineage: Eukaryota; Viridiplantae; Streptophyta; Magnoliopsida; Malpighiales; Euphorbiaceae. The record is from RNAcentral.